RNAcentral lists this ribosomal RNA (429 nucleotides) under Actinomycetes bacterium. Its description in RNAcentral is "Actinobacteria bacterium partial 16S ribosomal RNA". It matches the Rfam family "Bacterial small subunit ribosomal RNA", at positions 355 to 776 of the family's 1533-position model. The record is from RNAcentral. Lineage: Bacteria; Bacillati; Actinomycetota; Actinomycetes.
UAGGGAAUCUUCCGCAAUGGGCGAAAGCCUGACGGAGCAACGCCGCGUGAGUGAUGAAGGUCUUCGGAUCGUAAAACUCUGUUAUUAGGGAAGAACAAAUGUGUAAGUAACUAUGCACGUCUUGACGGUACCUAAUCAGAAAGCCACGGCUAACUACGUGCCAGCAGCCGCGGUAAUACGUAGGUGGCAAGCGUUAUCCGGAAUUAUUGGGCGUAAAGCGCGCGUAGGCGGUUUUUUAAGUCUGAUGGGAAAGCCCACGGCUCAACCGUGGAGGGUCAUUAGAAACUGGAAAGCUUGAGUGCAGAAGAGGAAAGUGGAAUUCCAUGUGUAGCGGUGAAAUGCACAGAGAUAUGGAGGAAAACCAGUGGCGAAAGCGACUUUCUGGUCUGUAACUGACGCUGAUGUGCGAAAGCGUGGGGAUCAAACAGG